AGUGAACGCUGGCGGUAGGCCUAACACAUGCAAGUCGAACGGCAGCACAGUAAGAGCUUGCUCUUACGGGUGGCGAGUGGCGGACGGGUGAGGAAUACAUCGGAAUCUACUUUUUCGUGGGGGAUAACGUAGGGAAACUUACGCUAAUACCGCAUACGACCUACGGGUGAAAGCAGGGGAUCUUCGGACCUUGCGCGAUUGAAUGAGCCGAUGUCGGAUUAGCUAGUUGGCGGGGUAAAGGCCCACCAAGGCGACGAUCCGUAGCUGGUCUGAGAGGAUGAACAGCCACACUGGAACUGAGACACGGUCCAGACUCCUGGAGGAGGAAGCAGUGGGGAAUAUUGGAGAAUGGAGGAAAGCCGGAUCCAGCAAUACCGCGGAGGUGAAGAAGGACUUCGGGUUGGAAAGCCAUUUUGUUGGGAGAGAAAAGCAGCAGGUUAAUACCCCGCUGUUCUGACGGUACCCGAAGAAUAAGCACCGGCUAACUUCGUG
Molecule: ribosomal RNA, 492 nt
Filed under: uncultured bacterium
Lineage: Bacteria
Description: partial 16S ribosomal RNA
Rfam family: Bacterial small subunit ribosomal RNA
Source: RNAcentral